GACGAACGCUGGCGGCGUGCUUAACACAUGCAAGUCGAACGAAGUGGCGAACGGGUGAGUAACGCGUAAUCAACCUGCCCUUCAGAGGGGGACAACAGUUGGAAACGACUGCUAAUACCGCAUAUUGAAGCAGGGGAUUGCGUGGGAUUAGCUAGUUGGAGGGGUAACGGCCCACCAAGGAGGUGAUCAGUAGCCGGUCUGAAAGGGAGAACGGGCCACUUGGGGAUGGGGAAACGCCCAAGCUCCUACGGGAGGGAGUCGUGGGGAAUCAUCCGAAAUGGACGAAAGUCUGACGGCGCCAAGCCGCGUGAGUUAUGACGGCCUUCGGGUUGUAAAGCUCUGUUAAUCGGGACGCGGUACCGGAAUAGAAAGCAACGGCUAACUACGUGCCAGCAGCCGCGGUAAUUC
RNAcentral lists this ribosomal RNA (408 nucleotides) under uncultured bacterium. RNAcentral's name for it is "partial 16S ribosomal RNA". It matches the Rfam family "Bacterial small subunit ribosomal RNA", at positions 28 to 526 of the family's 1533-position model. The record is from RNAcentral.